GAUGAACGCUGGCGGCGUGCCUAAUACAUGCAAGUCGAGCGAACUGAUUAGAAGCUUGCUUCUAUGACGUUAGCGGCGGACGGGUGAGUAACACGUGGGCAACCUGCCUGUAAGACUGGGAUAACUUCGGGAAACCGAAGCUAAUACCGGAUAGGAUCUUCUCCUUCAUGGGAGAUGAUUGAAAGAUGGUUUCGGCUAUCACUUACAGAUGGGCCCGCGGUGCAUUAGCUAGUUGGUGAGGUAACGGCUCACCAAGGCAACGAUGCAUAGCCGACCUGGGAGGGUGAUCGGCCACACUGGGACGGAGACACGGCCAAGACUCCUACGGGAGGCAGCAGUAGGGAAUCUUCCGCAAUGGACGAAAGUCUGACUGAGCAACGCCGCGUGAGUGAUGAAGGCUUUCGGGUCGUAAAACUCUGUUGUUAGGGAAGAACAAGUACGAGAGUAACUGCUCGUACCUUGACGGUACCUAACCAGAAAGCCACGGCUAACUACGUGCCAGCCGCCGCCGUAA
RNAcentral lists this ribosomal RNA (514 nucleotides) under uncultured bacterium. RNAcentral describes it as "partial 16S ribosomal RNA". It matches the Rfam family "Bacterial small subunit ribosomal RNA", at positions 28 to 523 of the family's 1533-position model. The record is from RNAcentral.